ACGACAAUGUUGAAAAGGAGUGGGCAAUACUGAACUCAUAGAAUGAAUUGGGAAGUACUUCCCCUGUGUCUAUCUUCUGGAAGAGACUGUAAAAGGGAACAUUUGCAAAUCUGGGCAUGGACUGUGGACCAGGCUUGCCUAAGUAGGAAGAGUCUGCUGGGCUAAAGAUAAACCAGUGGAGCUUUUGAUUGCUGCUUUGGCUAGUGUGACAGUUUGGAACCUGGAAAGGCCUAAAUAUAGGGCUGCCAAUUUUCUCCCACUGGACUUUAGCUGAAUGCUGAGGCAUUUAAGGAUUGGAUAGAAACAUGCAAUGAAGUUCCGUACAGUUGAACAGUGCUUAAAAGUCAUAGUCCUGGCAGAUGGAAAGAUGUUUAAUAACAUCAGACAAGUUGUGCCCUUAAGAUCUUUGAAACCAGAGUGAAAAUGAGGUAAAUGCAAGCUGUAACCCAUCCCUGAGAUGCUUAUUUCUUGAUUGGAUGAAGGUGAUCCAUCCAUCACUCUGGCUGCCUGUACAAGAAAAAGGCUUGAUAUCUCUGGGGAAAUACACAUCAAAUUCAGCUUUUAUGUCAUUUUAGGAACAGUCUGGCAUUGAGACUAAAUUGGGUAGACAUAUUAAGAAGCAAUAAUAUGUGACCCAGUGCAUAUAUUAUUGAAAAAUAG
RNAcentral lists this long non-coding RNA (660 nucleotides) under Homo sapiens (human). RNAcentral describes it as "HSALNT0114439". Lineage: Eukaryota; Metazoa; Chordata; Mammalia; Primates; Hominidae. The record is from RNAcentral.